Brachypodium distachyon (stiff brome) is the source of this 121-nucleotide non-coding RNA. Lineage: Eukaryota; Viridiplantae; Streptophyta; Magnoliopsida; Poales; Poaceae. The record is from Rfam.
AGCUGCGUGGUGAGCACAAAGCGAACUAAUCUUUCGCGUUUUACUAAAGAACACCGUGUGCACGUCACAAUUAAGCAGCAUACGUUUGUUUUUAAGGGCUCACUUCUUUCAAAGGAGGGUC